CCUACGGGAGGCAGCAGUGGGGAAUAUUGCACAAUGGGGGAAACUCUGAUGCAGCGACGCCGCGUGAGUGAAGAAGUAUUUCGGUAUGUAAAGCUCUAUCAGCAGGAACGAGACAAGACGGUACCUGACUAAGAAGCGCCGGCUAACUAGGUGCCAGCAGCCGCGGUAAUACGUAGGGGGCAAGCGUUAUCCGGAGUCACUGGGUGGAAGGGGAGGGUGGACGGCUGGGCAAGUCUGAGGUGAAAGGCGGGGGCCGAACCCACGGACUGCUUUGGGAACUGUACGGCUGGAGUGCAGGAGAGGUAAGUGGAAUUCCUAGUGUAGCGGUGAAAUGCGUAGAUAUUAGGAGGAACACCAGUGGCGAAGGCGGCUUACUGGACUGUAACUGACGUUGAGGCUCGAAAGCGUGGGGAGCAAACAGGAUUAGAUACCCCAGUAGUC
RNAcentral lists this ribosomal RNA (441 nucleotides) under uncultured bacterium. Its description in RNAcentral is "partial 16S ribosomal RNA". It matches the Rfam family "Bacterial small subunit ribosomal RNA", at positions 338 to 795 of the family's 1533-position model. The record is from RNAcentral.